Non-coding RNA from Lolium perenne, 2720 nucleotides. The record is from RefSeq and is a predicted model, not a curated record. Lineage: Eukaryota; Viridiplantae; Streptophyta; Magnoliopsida; Poales; Poaceae.
AGACGGCCGGGUAGAGCCGAAACCCGUAUUCCGGCGGUUAUUAUACGGGUUUGCCCCUUUUAAGGGGUCUGUUAGACAUGCUCUUAGUUUGUUACAUAAUUUGUGGUAUGAGUAGUUUGAUUCUAUAACAGCUGAUGACACUAUCAUCCUUUUUAGGUAUGCUGCUGACGUUACCAUUUGGACAGCUCAUUACUUCCAUUUUCGGACCAAUCUCUAAUGAUUUUUCAUUUGUCAUCAUCAACCAACGAGGUGAGAUCAGAAUCAUAUUUGCUAAGUUGUCGGUGCCUGAGCCACAUAGGUCGGGUUGUCCACACGGUUCACCGGCUAUUCUUUCCUUUAGGAUUCAUGAAUCUUGGUCUUCCAGCAAAGGUUGCAUACUAUAUAUGAGUUAUAAUUUACUUAAGGGAUAAGAUUAAGUCAAGAAAGUUGUUUUAAUUUACUUAAAAGUUAAAUACUACCACCGCCAGUGUAUUACGUGCAGCAGUUCUGAACCAUGUGCCUAUUUUACUGGAAUAUGAUACAUCAGAAAUCUUGGAAGCGAUAAUAAAAAACAUGUAUUCAAACACUAAUUUUGCAGGGCAUUUCUAAUUCUGUUUUUAGAAUGCAUGCCAAUCAGCCAAUAACUUACCUUUAGCAAAUGUUUCCCUCAUUCCUACAGGAAGACAAUGAAUGGUUGACCACCUGGAUAUGUUGAUUGUUAUUGUUUUAUUCUAGAAUGAUAUAUUGUGGUUUGGAAGUGCAUCCAUUUCAAAAGUUAAGAUGCACACAACACUUCUCAGAUACAGGAAUGUGGUGUUGAAUUAAGAGACUGGUUUAGAAAUCUCUAGACUGAUCUCUUAGCUUAUUCUUUUCACUAAAGUAGUGUCAGAAAGUGUGCCUAUCUUACUUCCCUGUCCUUUUCCCUCUUGAUCAUGCUAUUUUUGAGAAUAUAAAUUAUGAUCAACUGGGAUUUUCUUCCCGGCCCCAUUGAGAUGCAUGUUCAUUGAUGUUCUAUUUAAUUGUGCAUGGGAUGUUCCGAGCGCAUCAAUGUUAUGGGAUUCUAGACUCCAAGAGCUGCUUGGAUGCAAGAGCGUUCCCAUUUCAGAUUUAUGAAAGUUAGUUUCUUGCCACUUAAUCCUCAUUAACUGGCUAGGUUCUCGCUGUAUUUCUCUUUCCAGCGUCGGCUUCUGAAUUUACUUCAUAUGUUACUGCUAAUAUAUGCUUCCAGAUUUUUCAAUGGUACAGAGAUAUCUGCUCUACUCUUGCAUUCAUUCCCUUUGUUGUGCCAAUCAUUAUCCAUGCAGAUCUAGGAUUGUAGCGGGGCCAAAUAGCCCUAAGUUUACAUACUACGGUGUUCUUGAUAAAAUGGACAACGUAGAUUAUGUCUCUCUCCUGGAUCAUGGAUUUCUUCAAGCAAAGCUAGAUUAUUUGUGGUAGCCUGCAAGUGCUCUGUGUAAUCACUACAAGCAGUGGUAAAGUUUCUAGAAAGUGUGUUUGAAUAUCUUUUUGGCUACUACGACAGUCAGAUGUAUAUUGGUGUUGUUCAUGAAUGGUAGGCCCUUCCUUCAUUUUUUUUAUCAUAAAAGAGAAAGUAGCUUUAUCUAAACGUUUCCCUCUAGCAGCUCAAGAAGUUUUAUUGCAGGUAUCAAAAGAGGUUGAUGCAUUUUAAAUAGAUUGGCACUGGAAGAUUACUUGGUAAUAGAUUGAUCCUAGAGAAGAUGUAGUACGAUAAAAAGAUGAUCUCAGGAAUAUGGCUUUCUCUCCAUCGCAUGUUAAAUGCAGAUCAAUGUGCGUAAUUUUGCGGCACCACUAAAAUUGGUAACUCUUUUGCUGCAACACUUGCAAUUAUGUUUCUCUUUAACAGGUCUAGAGUGGUUGUAAUUAUACUAAAAUUGGUAACCCGAGCAUACGUAUCAGCUACGGAAAGGUUAGUGUGCUAAAAAAAUACAGAACUAGAGGCCUAGAUUAUAGUGGAGGAUUACAUUGGACUCAUUUCUAAAGGAUAACUUGCAAGUGACGCUGUUGAAUGAUGAAGCACUUUCAAUCAAGAUAACCCUUCAUGUCCUUAUAUGAAAUGUUGUCUUUCUUCUGAAUUGUGGAUUCACUGUGGAGAGCUUGAGCUCAUUCAGUAGACAACUGCGUAUGGGUCAGUUGGGUGUGUGGUUUCUCAGAUUGUUAACCUUAAGAUGUAUGGCUUGCCCUGCAACCUAAAUACGGUGGUAAAAACACAUACUACGGCAACAACCAACAGUUCAUCAAAUCUAUCCAAUACGGUUACUGUACAGGUGCACGUCAUGGUGUGCUACUGCUGAAGCUAUACCAAAGAGGCUACAACUUAUGGUCCUGCCACCGCACCUAGUUGACUGAACCCAGAUAGACCCAACUGACAAUUUUAAGUGUCCUGUACUCCAUCUGUUCCUAUAUGUUGAUGCCAUCAUGGGUGAAUCUCUUCCUGCUUAGGUGCUAUUAUGGUUCGAGGUCGUAUUCACUCGCUUAACUAACAAAAGGCAACCCCUGUUGAUGGUUUCUCGGUUCAAAAGCUAUGUGCAGAAGGUCAAGAGCUGAAGUCGCUUCAUGCACCCAGUGUAACUAGAAGGGCCAUACGACCACUGCUGAGUUUCCUAUAUGUUUUUAGGCACUAGGAAAGGCAUAUAUGGCCACUGCUUAAUUUUCUGUACCUUUCCAGGCGAUGACCUGAUAACUACCUCUUCCAACUAUUUAUUCCGCAUUAUGUGUUAUCA